UUUUUAACUAGAAUAUAUUUAGAAUUCACUUGUAAUUUUUGAGGCACCUUUAUUUUUUUAAAAAUAUUAUUGCAAUUGGCAUAACUCAAUCAAAAUUUUCAGACAAACUAAAAAUAAGCAGUAAAAAUAAUUCAUAUUAGACCUACCUACACAAAAUAUUAAUAUAAUUACCUCAAAUCGCCAGCAAGGAUUCUGUUAGAGGAGAGGAUCGAAUCAUAUUUCUUUUAAGUCAGUAAAGAGUGAAAGAACACAUAUAUAUGGCCAUUGAUAUCUGCACAUUUUACUAAAAUGAUAGCUACUUCCAUUUACCGCUAUCAGAUACGGUGACGCAAAAAAACUCAUAUUUAUUUAGAACCAGAAUCGUUAACUUUUGUAAACUGUUUCCAUAAAUCGCCAUCAAAACUCAGGUAAAGGGGAGAAGAAAGCCAUAUUUACUUAGAACCAGGUUUCAUCGCAUCAGUUCAUAAGCAAGAGGGAUUUCAAGUAAAUAAGUGCGCUGCAUAAACUGAAAAUUAAGCAAACGCGUGUACACACUAGAGAAGUCAUCUACAGCGGUUCUUGACCUGUGCAAUCUGAAAAGAAAUAUUUUGUGAUUCUUGACCAGUGCAACCUGUGAAGUGACCUCUUGCUGUUGUUGAUCUAUUUAAUCUGAGAGGUAAUUUUUGACUGCACUUAGACUGUGCGAUCUGCGAAGUGAUCUUUUGCGAUUCUUGGCGUAUGCAAUUUGGGAAGUGAUCUUUUGCGGUCAUUGGACUAAUAACUAUUUUGACAGACAGUACCUGGCUGACGAGAAGAAACGCACCCGAAAUUUGUUUUGGACUUAAUCAAGCACUGACACGCAUUAUAGUCUAGUAGCAAUAUGAAUUUUGAGCAGAUAGAUUUAUUAACACCAAAUGAAGCGGAACAUUUAUUCUAUACCACCAAUCUUGGUAUAAAUAUCAGGCGUAGACACUAUGAGCAACUGGCAGACGAGUUGGUGUUUGUGAUGACACCAGCUGUUGAGCCGGAACUUUUUGAAGCCUAUAUUUAUUAUCGCAGUAAUGGUUCUGUAGCCUUUCUGGACAAAUUCUGUUGUCGUUCCGCCGAUAUAAAAUUGUUCUAUAAGGUAAGAGGAUUCAGUAGUUCAUUAGGUGUUGAGGUGAAUCGUCGGUGCUCAGCAGAAACAGCUCUUAUCUUGGCAAUGCAUCUUUAAGUCUGAAAUACAUGGAAGAAGAAAGGAUGUAGUGCUACUUGUAGCAUGCUGUGGUAUCAAUCUGAUUAUAGAAUUUUUGGAAUUCAUGAUUAUAAUUUGAGUUUGAAAUUAUUUUUACAGUAUGUAAAAACUUGAUAAAAUGAAAAAUCUAAAAAUUAGUGCCUAAA
This is a long non-coding RNA of Teleopsis dalmanni, 1359 nucleotides long. RefSeq lists it as uncharacterized. Lineage: Eukaryota; Metazoa; Arthropoda; Insecta; Diptera; Diopsidae. The transcript is spliced from 5 exons. The record is from RefSeq and is a predicted model, not a curated record.